RNAcentral lists this ribosomal RNA (1463 nucleotides) under uncultured Klebsiella sp. RNAcentral describes it as "bacterial SSU rRNA". It matches the Rfam family "Bacterial small subunit ribosomal RNA". The record is from RNAcentral. Lineage: Bacteria; Pseudomonadati; Pseudomonadota; Gammaproteobacteria; Enterobacterales; Enterobacteriaceae.
AUUGAACGCUGGCGGCAGGCCUAACACAUGCAAGUCGAGCGGUAGCACAGAGAGCUUGCUCUCGGGUGACGAGCGGCGGACGGGUGAGUAAUGUCUGGGAAACUGCCUGAUGGAGGGGGAUAACUACUGGAAACGGUAGCUAAUACCGCAUAACGUCGCAAGACCAAAGUGGGGGACCUUCGGGCCUCAUGCCAUCAGAUGUGCCCAGAUGGGAUUAGCUAGUAGGUGGGGUAACGGCUCACCUAGGCGACGAUCCCUAGCUGGUCUGAGAGGAUGACCAGCCACACUGGAACUGAGACACGGUCCAGACUCCUACGGGAGGCAGCAGUGGGGAAUAUUGCACAAUGGGCGCAAGCCUGAUGCAGCCAUGCCGCGUGUGUGAAGAAGGCCUUCGGGUUGUAAAGCACUUUCAGCGGGGAGGAAGGCGGUGAGGUUAAUAACCUCAUCGAUUGACGUUACCCGCAGAAGAAGCACCGGCUAACUCCGUGCCAGCAGCCGCGGUAAUACGGAGGGUGCAAGCGUUAAUCGGAAUUACUGGGCGUAAAGCGCACGCAGGCGGUCUGUCAAGUCGGAUGUGAAAUCCCCGGGCUCAACCUGGGAACUGCAUUCGAAACUGGCAGGCUAGAGUCUUGUAGAGGGGGGUAGAAUUCCAGGUGUAGCGGUGAAAUGCGUAGAGAUCUGGAGGAAUACCGGUGGCGAAGGCGGCCCCCUGGACAAAGACUGACGCUCAGGUGCGAAAGCGUGGGGAGCAAACAGGAUUAGAUACCCUGGUAGUCCACGCUGUAAACGAUGUCGAUUUGGAGGUUGUGCCCUUGAGGCGUGGCUUCCGGAGCUAACGCGUUAAAUCGACCGCCUGGGGAGUACGGCCGCAAGGUUAAAACUCAAAUGAAUUGACGGGGGCCCGCACAAGCGGUGGAGCAUGUGGUUUAAUUCGAUGCAACGCGAAGAACCUUACCUGGUCUUGACAUCCACAGAACUUUCCAGAGAUGGAUUGGUGCCUUCGGGAACUGUGAGACAGGUGCUGCAUGGCUGUCGUCAGCUCGUGUUGUGAAAUGUUGGGUUAAGUCCCGCAACGAGCGCAACCCUUAUCCUUUGUUGCCAGCGGUCCGGCCGGGAACUCAAAGGAGACUGCCAGUGAUAAACUGGAGGAAGGUGGGGAUGACGUCAAGUCAUCAUGGCCCUUACGACCAGGGCUACACACGUGCUACAAUGGCAUAUACAAAGAGAAGCGACCUCGCGAGAGCAAGCGGACCUCAUAAAGUAUGUCGUAGUCCGGAUUGGAGUCUGCAACUCGACUCCAUGAAGUCGGAAUCGCUAGUAAUCGUAGAUCAGAAUGCUACGGUGAAUACGUUCCCGGGCCUUGUACACACCGCCCGUCACACCAUGGGAGUGGGUUGCAAAAGAAGUAGGUAGCUUAACCUUCGGGAGGGCGCUUACCACUUUGUGAUUCAUGACUGGGGUGA